Molecule: long non-coding RNA, 506 nt
Organism: Daktulosphaira vitifoliae (grape phylloxera)
Lineage: Eukaryota; Metazoa; Arthropoda; Insecta; Hemiptera; Phylloxeridae
Exons: 3
Source: RefSeq, a predicted model, not a curated record
CCGGCGCAUCUAUUUGCCGCGCGCGCACAGGUAUUGCACCGUCGCCGUUACCGUAUCACCGGCGGCAGUGACGGUGCUGUUCCGUGCGCGCGCUACAGUCGACUGGAACAGUACGCCGAUCAUACGGCAACUAACAACGGUCAUUCGUGUGCCGCCUUCUUCAACCGAACAACGUUAUCUCUUUGCUCGCGUCACCAUUGAGUAUUACGAUGAUAGCAGUAAUCGCCCUUUAAAUUUUUUUCCAUUUAAAUUAUUUAUGUUUUGUGUUUGUUUUUUUAUUAAGUUUUUUCAAUCAAUCAUUUUUUUCUUCAACGUUAAAUAUUUAUUUAUUUUAUUAAUUUAUUUUUGGUUUUUUUACGCGAUCGCGCCAUUUUAAAUAACUUGGGCCAAUACAGGAACUCUAACAUUUUGUGACAAACCAAGUGUCAGAGAAUAUUUCAAAAGAAUUAAAUGGAUUCAAAUGAUAAUGUUACAAUUGUAAUAAAUCAUCUAUACUCAUUUAAAGU